Molecule: ribosomal RNA, 253 nt
Filed under: uncultured bacterium
Lineage: Bacteria
Description: partial 16S ribosomal RNA
Rfam family: Bacterial small subunit ribosomal RNA
Source: RNAcentral
GACGGAGGGGGCUAGCGUUGUUCGGAAUGACUGGGCGUAAAGGGCGCGUAGGUUGUUUGUUAAGUUAGAUGUGAAAUCCCUGGGCUUAACCCAGGAACUGCAUUUAAAACUGAUGAACUGGAGUGUGGUAGAGGAAUUUGGAAUUCCGAGUGUAGAGGUGAAAUUCGUAGAUAUUCGGAGGAACAUCUGAGGCGAAGGCGAGAUUCUGGGCCACAACUGACACUGAGGCGCGACAGCGUGGGGAGCAAACAGG